This 497-nucleotide ribosomal RNA is filed under the name uncultured bacterium. Its description in RNAcentral is "partial 16S ribosomal RNA". It matches the Rfam family "Bacterial small subunit ribosomal RNA", at positions 28 to 507 of the family's 1533-position model. The record is from RNAcentral.
GAUGAACGCUGGCGGCGUGCCUAAUACAUGCAAGUCGAGCGAACGGACGAGAAGCUUGCUUCUCUGAUGUUAGCGGCGGACGGGUGAGUAACACGUGGAUAACCUACCUAUAAGACUGGGAUAACUUCGGGAAACCGGAGCUAAUACCGGAUAAUAUUUUGAAACGCAUGGUUCAAAAGUGAAAGACGGUCUUGCUGUCACUUAUAGAUGGAUCCGCGCUGCAUUAGCUAGUUGGUAAGGUAACGGCUUACCAAGGCAACGAUGCAUAGCCGACCUGAGAGGGUGAUCGGCCACACUGGAACUGAGACACGGUCCAGACUCCUACGGGAGGCAGCAGUAGGGAAUCUUCCGCAAUGGGCGAAAGCCUUACGGAGCAACGCCGCGUGAGUGAUGAAGGUCUUCGGAUCGUAAAACUCUGUUAUUAGGGAAGAACAUAUGUGUAAGUAACUGUGCACAUCUUGACGGUACCUAAUCAGAAAGCCACGGCUAACUACGUG